UAUAUUCUCUUGGUCAGUGCCCAGAUAUUAGAGUAGAUCAAUGGCUUGUUUUAUAUGUAUUCAUUCAUGCACAUUUAUUUUGAAAAAAUCAUUAAAGACCACCCAAAACUGCUUUAGUCCACCAAGAAUCCAAGUUAUAUCUUUUGGCUUUAUUGCUUAAGAUGUAAUCUCCUAAUUAUAUUUGCCUAGUUUUUCUCUGGAGUGACAGUCUCCUGCCGUUUUUGACAUGUAUAGAGUUGCAAGUGAGCAUGCUUGGAUGUAUUCAUACUUUAGCGGUCAACAGAUGAAGGGAUCAAGAAAAUACUUACUGCAGGGUGGUGUUGUAGCUUCCUUAUUUGCAGGUUAAAAGUAGAUAAGUGUGAUAAACAUCUCUAUACAAGCCUGGUAAGACAGAUGGGUCGUCUGUGGUCAUAUCUUAUGUUUACUACCAUACCUAAGAGCCAUAAAUAUUUCUAGCUUGAUCUUCUUAUGUGAGGAGCCAGUCCAUUGACCGGCCCGCACAUGAUUUGGGCCAGUGGGCUGGCGCUGAGUGGUCAACCUAACUCCUCACAUGCACUGCACGUGAGGAAAAGGGAGAGGAAGACUAUGGUUUGGGAGUCUUCUUUCUCCCUCAUCCGAUCGCGAUCCUUUCUUCUCCUCGACGACUCCAACUAGAAAUCAGAGACCUAGGACCAGCAGAGCCUAAGGUCUCUUCUAUAUAAACAUCCCCACCUCUC
RNAcentral lists this long non-coding RNA (716 nucleotides) under Phoenix dactylifera (date palm). RNAcentral's name for it is "long non-coding RNA (PDAC_LNC005166)". The record is from RNAcentral. Lineage: Eukaryota; Viridiplantae; Streptophyta; Magnoliopsida; Arecales; Arecaceae.